CCAACUGUUCUGAACUCCAGUUCCGGGCGAGUCUCUGGGGACCCAGACUCAUACGGGGAGAAACUGGACUGUCUGGCAGUGGGCGGA
This is a non-coding RNA of Myotis lucifugus (little brown bat), 87 nucleotides long. The record is from Rfam. Lineage: Eukaryota; Metazoa; Chordata; Mammalia; Chiroptera; Vespertilionidae.